AGCCUUCUGUAUCCAUGCUGGGAUUUCGUCACACACCAGUCCACAAGGGUGGAUGAGACUUCCAAUAUAAGUGAAGCG
Molecule: microRNA precursor, 78 nt
Filed under: Schistosoma curassoni
Lineage: Eukaryota; Metazoa; Platyhelminthes; Trematoda; Strigeidida; Schistosomatidae
Description: mir-3492 microRNA precursor family
Rfam family: mir-3492 microRNA precursor family
Source: Rfam by way of RNAcentral